CCUACGGGGGGCAGCAGUGGGGAAUAUUGCACAAUGGGGGAAACCCUGAUGCAGCGACGCCGCGUGAGUGAAGAAGUAAUUCGUUAUGUAAAGCUCUAUCAGCAGGGAAGAAAAUGACGAUACCUGAAUAAGACUCCCCGGCUAACUACGUGCCAGCAGCCGCGGUAAUACGUAGGGGGCAAGCGUUAUCCGGAUUUACUGGGUGUAAAGGGGGCGUAGACGGUAGGGCAAGUCUGGAGUGAAAGGCGGGGGCUCAACCCCGGGACUGCUCUGGAAACUGUACGGCUGGAGUGCAGGAGAGGUAAGUGGAAUUCCUAGUGUAGCGGUGAAAUGCGUAGAGAUUAGGAGGAACACCAGUGGCGAAGGCGGCUUACUGGACUGUAACUGACGUUGAGGCUCGAAAGCGUGGGGAGCAAACAGGAUUAGAUACCCGUGUAGUC
RNAcentral lists this ribosomal RNA (440 nucleotides) under uncultured bacterium. Its description in RNAcentral is "partial 16S ribosomal RNA". It matches the Rfam family "Bacterial small subunit ribosomal RNA", at positions 338 to 795 of the family's 1533-position model. The record is from RNAcentral.